Molecule: long non-coding RNA, 371 nt
Filed under: Monodelphis domestica (gray short-tailed opossum)
Lineage: Eukaryota; Metazoa; Chordata; Mammalia; Didelphimorphia; Didelphidae
Description: lncRNA (ENSMODG00000038947.1)
Source: RNAcentral
GGAAAGUGGCUGAUGGGGGUAGCGAGCGCUCCCCCUGCACCUCACCGCCUCCCAGCAGGAUCUGGGGCUCUCCUUCUGCACCGGAACCGCUUCCCAGAGAGAUUCACUUAGUGAAGAGGGGCCCAAAGCUGGAGAUAUCGAGGGAGCUAACUCCCAAUCCCACUCCUUACCUGUUUUUUCAGUCCUCUUUUGUCUUCAUUCAAAUCGGCUCGCCUUCUCGGAGCAAACCAGUUCGAAGAGAAGAUUCGACUUGUGAUAAGAGCCCGGUUUGGGGAGAUUUUCCUGCUUUGUGUUGCUUUCCUGAGGAGGUGACAGAGCAUCAGAUUCGAGAUGGAUGUGUCCAAGAUUUCAGGGGGAAACUGGACCCUUAA